RNAcentral lists this ribosomal RNA (446 nucleotides) under uncultured bacterium. Its description in RNAcentral is "bacterial SSU rRNA". It matches the Rfam family "Bacterial small subunit ribosomal RNA", at positions 331 to 793 of the family's 1533-position model. The record is from RNAcentral.
CCAGACUCCUACGGGAGGCAGCAGUGGGGAAUAUUGGGCAAUGGGCGCAAGCCUGACCCAGCAACGCCGCGUGAAGGAUGAAGGUUUUCGGAUUGUAAACUUCUGUCGCGAGGGACGAAGAAUGACGGUACCUCGUAAGAAAGCCCCGGCUAACUACGUGCCAGCAGCCGCGGUAAUACGUAGGGAGCGAGCGUUGUCCGGAAUUACUGGGUGUAAAGGGAGCGUAGGCGGGACUGCAAGUCAGAUGUGAAAACCACGGGCUCAACCUGUGGCCUGCAUUUGAAACUGUAGUUCUUGAGUACUGGAGAGGCAGACGGAAUUCCUAGUGUAGCGGUGAAAUGCGUAGAUAUUAGGAGGAACACCAGUGGCGAAGGCGGUCUGCUGGACAGCAACUGACGCUGAGGCGCGAAAGCGUGGGGAGCAAACAGGAUUAGAUACCCCAGUAG